Molecule: ribosomal RNA, 1196 nt
Filed under: uncultured marine diplonemid
Lineage: Eukaryota; Euglenozoa; Diplonemea
Description: bacterial SSU rRNA
Rfam family: Eukaryotic small subunit ribosomal RNA
Source: RNAcentral
GCACCCGCGGUAAUUCCAGCACCAAUAGCGUAUAUUAAUGCUGCUGCUGUUAAAAAGCUCGUAGUUGGAUCCAGAGUACAGGUUGCAUGGUGGCCCAUGUUGGCUGCGAUCGGUGUAUUAUCGGUAAUAGUCGCGUGGGAACAACCCCAUGCUCCAAGACCUGUCCUCUACUGAAGGUGGUAAUGGUGCCCUGUGAGUAGGCUCCUUCAUUGGAGCUCAAAGCGCCUUCGUGUUAACCAUACGCAAACGGGUCGACCACCGAUGUUACUGUGAACAAACCAGCGUGUCCAAAGCAGGCACUCGCCUUGAAUGAUAAAGCAUGGAAUAACAAGGGAUCGGAUCCUCUCGGUUCUUUUUGUUGGUUCUCAACCCGGGAAGGAGUAAUUCAAGCCUCGGAUCCUCUUCUGGUACUCUAACUUGUUAGACCCAGUUGAGACCAUGGCCCAUCCGGAUCAAUAGGGACUGCCGGGGUCGUAUGUACUCCCGCGUCAGAGGUGAAAUUCUUAGAUCGUGGGAAGACAAACUUCUGCGAAAGCAUUCGACAAGAAUGUCUUCAUUAAUCAAGAACGAGAGUGUGGGGAUCGAAGAUGAUCAGAUACCGUCGUAGUCCACUACUGUAAACGAUGCCGUCUCAGGAUCGAGAGAUGCACCAACAUGGCUCUCACGGCACUAACCCCUGAAACGAGAAAUCAAAGAUUGUGGGUUCAGGGGGGAGUACAUUCGCAAGGCUGAAACUUAAAGGAAUUGACGGAAUGACACCACCAGGCGUGGAGUGUGCGGCUUAAUUUGACUCAACACGGGGAAUUUUACUAGGUCAGGACAGUGUAAGGAUUGACAGAUUGAGAGCUCUUUCUCGAUCCAUUGUGUGGUGGUGCAUGGCCGCUCCUGGUUGGUGGAGUGAUUUGUCUGGUUGAUUCCGUUAACGAACGAGAUCUCGACCCUUAAAUAGGUGUGCUCGUCGCUUUGCGGUUCCUCUCAAGUUUACUUGAGUUAUGGACCUUAGACAGGGCAACGACUUCUUAGGGGGACUGGGUGCUACGGAGCAUUCGGAAGAGCGAGCCAAUAGCAGGUCUGUGAUGCUCCUAAAUGUCCUAGGCUGCACGCGCACUACACUGACGCAUUCAACGAGUCUGAUUGCCUUAUGGCAACCUAUCUUGAAGAGGAUGGGAAACCUUUUGAACUUGCGUCGUGAUGAG